GGCUUCAUAGCUCAGUGGUAGAGCGUUUGCACUGAGAUGGAAAGGUCAUGGGUUCGUAUCCCGUUAGAGCCU
Desmophyllum pertusum is the source of this 72-nucleotide non-coding RNA. NCBI's taxonomy places the organism in Eukaryota, Metazoa, Cnidaria, Anthozoa, Scleractinia, Caryophylliidae. The record is from the annotation of a GenBank genome assembly.